Molecule: long non-coding RNA, 1599 nt
Organism: Macadamia integrifolia
Lineage: Eukaryota; Viridiplantae; Streptophyta; Magnoliopsida; Proteales; Proteaceae
Exons: 3
Source: RefSeq, a predicted model, not a curated record
AUCGUCUUUCAAAUCACCAAUGCAGGUCUCAAAAAAAUUUACCUUCUUCCACGGCUCUGAAGCAGGGGUCUCAGGCACAAAAUCGGAUUCUGGUGCCUAAGAAUAGGACACUUCCGAGGUCCAAAUACACUAAUUUGCUUAGCCAAAAACAUAUGUCUGCUGGUGAUUGUGUUAAUGGGACUAAAAAAUAUGUUGCUUUAAAUAGAAAUUUAUGCUUUAUGCAAUCGCAUGCAGCUAAGAAUGCACCAUAAAGUACUAGUUAAUCUUAAAUGUGACUCAAGGAGGUAUACUUAUGCCAAGCAAGAAGAUUCCUCAUCACGGUUGAGGACCCCACUUCUAAAGAGGAGGCUGAAGAAUUUUACUUCUCAGGUUGAUGGUACAGGUAUCCACAAUUAAUCAAAUAGAAAACAAAGAACAAUUAGUGGCAAUGUAAACGAGAGGAAAAGGGGGAUCUAAAAGCAUGUUCUGUGAACAAGAACCAUAUCAAGAGUGAGAGUCCCAAUCUAGAUGAAAGUGAUACAAAUGUUGGUGAUAAAGGCACCAGUAUAGUUUCUUUCAUGUUUAGUUCCCCAGUGAGGCACAGGACUUGCUCUUCCUCCCCUGCAGACGUGAAGGACAAGUACAAGGGUCAAAAUGAGUUCAUGAGCAAAUGUAAAUCCCAGAAAAAGCAAUUAUUUGGUGCAAGCGAUGAAGACACUUCUGAUAAGGCAGUGCCAUUAAAUGAGAUGCUCUGUGUGCAUUGCCGGAACAAAAGCUAAGGUGACAUGUCAAGAUGGGGGAUGAGCUGCCUAUUUCAGAAAAAUCUACUGCUUCAAUCCUCGAAGAGCUGAUAUCUGCCCUAACUGCAGAAAGGACAGUUUCUCAAGAUGAAGACCACCCUUUGGUUGGAUUUCACAAGAACAGUUCGUGCAACAUAAAUUCAGAUCUCUCUGGUCAUGUAUCUUCACAUGGCAGAAGCAGAAGCAGUCAGAGUUUCAGUUGGCUUGGCUCAUUCUGGGGAUGAGGAACAUGCUAGCCCUUUGUAAGUUCUUGAAGCUUCUUUCUCGAAUGAUACUUGUCUCUCUGACAGUCUUGAUGGUGGCUCAGGAUGUAAGAUGCAGCAGAAGCCCAUGGAUUGCUUCUAUGACCUACAUCAGAUAUCAGGUUUUGAUGCUGAUCUUUUGGAUUCUGCUACCUCUUUCAGCAGAGGGAGUGCUGGAAGUGAGGAGCUGACGAAUUCCUUUCUGCUCCAUUUCCAAGAUAUUAGACAGUAUAGGCCUUGCUGACAUUGGACUAGAUGGAGACAAAGUCAACCAUGCCAGGGAGAUUUUACCGAAUGCUGAAUUUUUGUUUGGAAAUGAUUCUCCUGGUGCUGGUAACGAAGACUUCAUUCUAGGCCCUAUUUUCCUUGAGGAAUUGGAGAUUCUUUUUUAUGUACUUACUAGAAGUUCCGACUGCAGAUUGUGUUUCAUGCAAGCCAAAGAGGGGUACCAAGUAAACGAGGAAGUUCAUUUUUGACUGUAUGAUAGAAUGCUUGGACUUGAAAUAUGGCUACUUCUGUAAAAUGGGUUUCCGAAAGUGGAAGGAAAUGUGAUCUGGUCUGAGGAGAGAGUUUUUUUU